UACGUAGGGGGCAAGCGUUGUCCGGAUUUAUUGGGCGUAAAGAGCGUGUAGGCGGCUUUACAGGUCCGUUGUGAAAACUCGAGGCUCAACCUCGAGACGCCGGUGGAAACCGUAAAGCUAGAGUCCGGAAGAGGAGAGUGGAAUUCCUGGUGCAGCGGUGAAAUGCGCAGAUAUCAGGAGGAACACCGGUGGCGAAGGCGGGUCUCUGGGCCGAAAUUGACGCUGAGGAGCGAAAGCGUGGGGAGCAAACAGG
This 253-nucleotide ribosomal RNA is filed under the name uncultured bacterium. Its description in RNAcentral is "partial 16S ribosomal RNA". It matches the Rfam family "Bacterial small subunit ribosomal RNA", at positions 524 to 776 of the family's 1533-position model. The record is from RNAcentral.